GACGGGAGGGGCUAGCAUUAGUUAUCGUGACUGGGCGUUAAGGGUGCGUAGAUGGCAUUCUAGGGGAACUAGGUGAAAUACUGGAGCAAGAUCCUUUAGAAGAGCCUUUAUAGCCAGUAUGCUAGGAGAAAGUAAGGGGUUAAGAGAACACCUAGUGUAGAGGUGCAAUUCCGGAAAACUAGGGAGAAAACCAUAGGCGGAGGCGCUUAACUGGGACUUUCUGACAUUGAGGCACGAAAGCAUGGGUAUCAAACUGG
RNAcentral lists this unclassified non-coding RNA (257 nucleotides) under uncultured bacterium. RNAcentral's name for it is "contains 16S-23S intergenic spacer region". It matches the Rfam family "Bacterial small subunit ribosomal RNA", at positions 524 to 776 of the family's 1533-position model. The record is from RNAcentral.